CUCUGAUUUGCCCUGUAACCUGUCUCUGAUAGUGCUGUGACUUUAGACAGCCCUGCAGGAUAUGACUCUGAUUUAUGGAUCCUCGCAUUGCUGUGAGCUUUGGUCUCCAGUUGGGCUUUCCUUGCCUGGAUUGAAUUUUCCACAGUCAGUUCCUGAGCAUUACCAGGAUGCUAGGGGUUUUUUGGUCACUUUCAAAAUUCAGAUGUGCUGGGAGGUGUUGGAGGCGACAGAAAUGCUUCAUGGAAUUAGGUUUAAGGCAAGAGGAGAUAACCAAGUAGCAUAACUGGACUCUACCUAAUACAGACCAUGGGAUUUCAUGGAGUCAGUUGUGUCUUGAGCCCUAGAUGUAACUGCUCAGUGUCUUCCAGCAACAAGCUUUUGUUUGCCAAGAGCAUGAGAUGGAAAAUAUACCCAUAUCCUCAGUAGCUUGAAAUCUUAUUACUAAUAAGUGUGUAUCUACACAGUAAACACUAUACAGGAUUAAAACAGAUCUCAAGUAAUUGAAUUUUUUCUCAAAGAUACUUAAAAGUCAUAACUUUAGACAGCACUCUACUUACUUUUACCUCAUGUAACUACUAAAACUUCUAAGUAAGAAGAAAUGGGGAAAAUUUUAUUUUCUGUGUGUAACUGUGAUUAUUUUUUUAUUUGCCAGUUUUUAAUGUAUCUUGAAUUUUUAUUUUGUUGCUUCUCUGUAGUGAAUUCUGUUUUUCAUCGGCAUGUUUUGAAACCAGACAAGAGAAAGCAUUAUUUAAAUUGGGAAAAUGUUAUUACAUAACUACAAAAAAUUGGCAGAGAGAUUCAGAGAAAAUAUUCCAUCUGCCACUAACUUUAAUUAAAUCAAAAGCUCAGAACAGAAAAAAUCAAACACGCACAAACCCAUAAUUCAGUCAAAUUACUUGUAUACUCAGAGUUAUUUUUAUUAUAAAAUAGAAUGACCCCCAAAUAUUUUCCCCCUUUUAUCUACUAUGUGUUGUAUUAUUGUAUAAAACAGAAGAUUUUUUUAGUAAAUAACUCUUUCUCAAACCACAAUGUUCUUGUUUAUUCAUGUUUUGAAAGUCUGCAUAUUACAUUGUGUAGCCCUUGAGCCAUUUUAGGUAGUAUUGAAAUCCUGGUUAGCCUUUUUACCAGUUAUUUUUUCUUCUGUUUCCCUGGAAUAUAAUUUUUGGACGGUUGUUUAACUGAAGAAGGUUGUUUAACCUACUGGCACUUUCUUUAGUGGCAUAAAAUUAACAAAGAAAGUUCUUGUUAAGUGUAUGACAAGAAGAUUAUGAGAAGUUCUCUCCAGAUUGACCAGCAGUUUUUUUCUUAAGACUGCUAAGAUGUCUACUGAUGUCAGUUUGUAUUAGAGAUGCCAAUAAAUUAAUGGGCAUUAUAAGUUAUGAUGAGAGG
This 1389-nucleotide long non-coding RNA is filed under the name Parus major (Great Tit). Its description in RNAcentral is "lncRNA (ENSPMJG00000015117.1)". Lineage: Eukaryota; Metazoa; Chordata; Aves; Passeriformes; Paridae. The record is from RNAcentral.